Molecule: ribosomal RNA, 466 nt
Filed under: uncultured bacterium
Lineage: Bacteria
Description: partial 16S ribosomal RNA
Rfam family: Bacterial small subunit ribosomal RNA
Source: RNAcentral
GAUGAACGCUGGCGGCGUGCUUAACACAUGCAAGUCGAACGAUGAAGCUCAGCUUGCUGGGUGGUUUAGUGGCGAACGGGUGAGUAACACGUGAGUAACUUGCCCUUAACUCUGGGAUAAGCCUGGGAAACUAGGUCUAAUACCGGAUAGGAGCGCCUACCGCACGGUGGGUGUUGGAAAGAUUUAUCGGUUUUGGAUGGACUCGCGGCCUAUCAGCUUGUCGGUGAGGUAAUGGCUCACCAAGGCGACGACGGGUAGCCGGCCUGUGAGGGUGACCGGCCACACUGGGACUGAGACACGGCCCAGACUCCUACGGGAGGCAGCAGUGGGGAAUAUUGCACAAUGGGCGAAAGCCUGAUGCAGCGACGCCGCGUGAGGGAUGACGGCCUUCGGGUUGUAAACCUCUUUCAGUAGGGAAGAAGCGAAAGUGACGGUACCUGCAGAAGAAGCACCGGCUAACUACGUG